GAGUUUGAUCGUGGCUCAGAUUGAACGCUGGCGGCAUGCCUUACACAUGCAAGUCGAACGGUAACAGGUCUUCGGAUGCUGACGAGUGGCGAACGGGUGAGUAAUACAUCGGAACGUGCCCAGACGUGGGGGAUAACGAGGCGAAAGCUUUGCUAAUACCGCAUACGAUCUAAGGAUGAAAGCAGGGGACCGCAAGGCCCUGCGCGUUUGGAGCGGCCGAUGGCAGAUUAGGUAGUUGGUGGGAUAAAAGCUUACCAAGCCGACGAUCUGUAGCUGGUCUGAGAGGACGACCAGCCACACUGGGACUGAGACACGGCCCAGACUCCUACGGGAGGCAGCAGGUGGGGUAAUUUUGGACAAGUGGGCGAAAGGCCUGAUCCGAGCAAUGCCGCGUGCAGGAUGAA
RNAcentral lists this ribosomal RNA (404 nucleotides) under uncultured microorganism. RNAcentral describes it as "bacterial SSU rRNA". It matches the Rfam family "Bacterial small subunit ribosomal RNA", at positions 9 to 412 of the family's 1533-position model. The record is from RNAcentral.